This 440-nucleotide ribosomal RNA is filed under the name uncultured bacterium. RNAcentral describes it as "partial 16S ribosomal RNA". It matches the Rfam family "Bacterial small subunit ribosomal RNA", at positions 338 to 795 of the family's 1533-position model. The record is from RNAcentral.
CCUACGGGUGGCAGCAGUGGGGAAUAUUGCGCAAUGGGCGAAAGCCUGACGCAGCGACGCCGCGUGAGUGAUGAAGGUCUUCGGAUUGUAAACUCCUUUUGUUAGAGAAGAUAAUGACGGUAUCUAACGAAUAAGCACCGGCUAACUCCGUGCCAGCAGCCGCGGUAAUACGGAGAGUGCAAGCGUUACUCGGAAUCACUGGGCGUAAAGAGCGCGGAGGCGGGAUAGCAAGUCAGAUGUGAAAUCCUAUGGCUUAACCAUAGAACUGCAUUUGAAACUGUUAUUCUAGAGUAUGGGAGAGGUAGGUAGAAUUCUUGGUGUAGGGGUGAAAUCCGUAGAGAUCAAGAGGAAUACUGAUUGCGAAGGCGACCUGCUAGAACAUGACUGACGCUGAUGCGCGAAAGCGUGGGGAGCAAACAGGAUUAGAUACCCUAGUAGUC